AUCUCAUUGGAUGAUGAUUGCCACGAGUCAUGUUUUGAUUGGAUGUCAACUAUAUGAAAGAUGAAAUGCAUUGUUGUUUUCAUUGACCAAUUAGAACAUGACAUGAAACCGUCAUCAUCC
Non-coding RNA from Glycine soja, 120 nucleotides. NCBI's taxonomy places the organism in Eukaryota, Viridiplantae, Streptophyta, Magnoliopsida, Fabales, Fabaceae. The record is from Rfam.